Wasmannia auropunctata (little fire ant) is the source of this 622-nucleotide long non-coding RNA. RefSeq lists it as uncharacterized. Lineage: Eukaryota; Metazoa; Arthropoda; Insecta; Hymenoptera; Formicidae. The transcript is spliced from 2 exons. The record is from RefSeq and is a predicted model, not a curated record.
CCCAUCGUGAGAGAGAAGCUUUACGUUCGCAACUACCCUAAGUGACGCGGAAUCUCGAAACAGCUUCAGCGAAGACAAGCGACUGUAAAGGUGCAAAUUCAUAAGACGCUUGCUUCAGCGUUAGGACCAUGGCACACAGAAAAUCUUAAGCAGUAAGAUGUAAGCAGUAAAGAAAUCAACAUGGAUUUUUGGCAGUCACGUAACUUCGACUUUGAUGCUAAAAAUGAGCCGUCGGUAUGAAAAGGGCCGAGGGUUUCUUGGCUAAGAGAGUCGUCGAAAAAACGUCGGGAUAAAUGGAUAAGGAGAGGCGGUAGGUAAAACGAAGAGCGAGAGAACGGCGCAGAAAGCAGCGCAGAAAAGACCGAAGACGGACGGCUCGCGCUCCUGAGUAAGAUUUACAAAGCUGAGAGGGAGAAAUAAAUGUUCGCCGUGCGACAAAUAGACUCGAAGCAGGGAUACUGUCGCCGGGUGCCCCGGCGCAUUUUAAAAGGCAUAUUAUACAGUAGACAACCUAGAUUAUGUAUUACAAUGUCGUUUUAAUAAUACCGAGGGAAUUUCAACGCGGAAUUUUCAGGAUCUUGUUAUAAAUCUUCUUUUAUUAAAUAUUUUAUUAAAAAGCAUA